RNAcentral lists this non-coding RNA (81 nucleotides) under unclassified sequences. RNAcentral describes it as "skipping-rope RNA". It matches the Rfam family "skipping-rope RNA". From Rfam's summary of the family: Firmicutes, Fusobacteria, AlphaProteobacteria, Spirochaetes. Downstream gene The record is from Rfam by way of RNAcentral.
AGGGAUUGAAGUGGAGAUAGUGCUGCCACGCACCUUAUGGGUCAAAAAGAAAUGUAGGAAAGGGCACACCUACCAAUACCU